RNAcentral lists this ribosomal RNA (2916 nucleotides) under Salmonella enterica subsp. enterica serovar Enteritidis. RNAcentral's name for it is "bacterial LSU rRNA". It matches the Rfam family "Bacterial large subunit ribosomal RNA". The record is from RNAcentral. Lineage: Bacteria; Pseudomonadati; Pseudomonadota; Gammaproteobacteria; Enterobacterales; Enterobacteriaceae.
GGGUUGUGAGGUUAAGCGACUAAGCGUACACGGUGGAUGCCCUGGCAGUCAGAGGCGAUGAAGGGCGUGCUAAUCUGCGAUAAGCGCCGGUAAGGUGAUAUGAACCGUUAUAACCGGCGAUACCCGAAUGGGGAAACCCAGUGUGACUCGUCACACUAUCAUUAACUGAAUCCAUAGGUUAAUGAGGCGAACCGGGGGAACUGAAACAUCUAAGUACCCCGAGGAAAAGAAAUCAACCGAGAUUCCCCCAGUAGCGGCGAGCGAACGGGGAGGAGCCCAGAGCCUGAAUCAGCAUGUGUGUUAGUGGAAGCGUCUGGAAAGGCGCGCGAUACAGGGUGACAGCCCCGUACACAAAAGCGCAUGUGCUGUGAGCUCGAUGAGUAGGGCGGGACACGUGGUAUCCUGUCUGAAUAUGGGGGGACCAUCCUCCAAGGCUAAAUACUCCUGACUGACCGAUAGUGAACCAGUACCGUGAGGGAAAGGCGAAAAGAACCCCGGCGAGGGGAGUGAAAAAGAACCUGAAACCGUGUACGUACAAGCAGUGGGAGCNNGUGACUGCGUACCUUUUGUAUAAUGGGUCAGCGACUUAUAUUCUGUAGCAAGGUUAACCGAAUAGGGGAGCCGGAGGGAAACCGAGUCUUAAUUGGGCGUUAAGUUGCAGGGUAUAGACCCGAAACCCGGUGAUCUAGCCAUGGGCAGGUUGAAGGUUGGGUAACACUAACUGGAGGACCGAACCGACUAAUGUUGAAAAAUUAGCGGAUGACCUGUGGCUGGGGGUGAAAGGCCAAUCAAACCGGGAGAUAGCUGGUUCUCCCCGAAAGCUAUUUAGGUAGCGCCUCGUGAAUUCAUCUCCGGGGGUAGAGCACUGUUUCGGCUAGGGGGCCAUCCCGGCUUACCAACCCGAUGCAAACUGCGAAUACCGGAGAAUGUUAUCACGGGAGACACACGGCGGGUGCUAACGUCCGUCGUGAAGAGGGAAACAACCCAGACCGCCAGCUAAGGUCCCAAAGUCAUGGUUAAGUGGGAAACGAUGUGGGAAGGCCCAGACAGCCAGGAUGUUGGCUUAGAAGCAGCCAUCAUUUAAAGAAAGCGUAAUAGCUCACUGGUCGAGUCGGCCUGCGCGGAAGAUGUAACGGGGCUAAACCAUGCACCGAAGCUGCGGCAGCGACACUGUGUGUUGUUGGGUAGGGGAGCGUUCUGUAAGCCUGUGAAGGUGUGUCGUGAGGCAUGCUGGAGGUAUCAGAAGUGCGAAUGCUGACAUAAGUAACGAUAAAGCGGGUGAAAAGCCCGCUCGCCGGAAGACCAAGGGUUCCUGUCCAACGUUAAUCGGGGCAGGGUGAGUCGACCCCUAAGGCGAGGCCGAAAGGCGUAGUCGAUGGGAAACGGGUUAAUAUUCCCGUACUUGGUGUUACUGCGAAGGGGGGACGGAGAAGGCUAUGUUGGCCGGGCGACGGUUGUCCCGGUUUAAGCGUGUAGGUGUGUGUUCCAGGUAAAUCCGGUUCACUUUAACACUGAGGCGUGACGACGAGGCACUACGGUGCUGAAGCAACAAAUGCCCUGCUUCCAGGAAAAGCCUCUAAGCAUCAGGUAACAUCAAAUCGUACCCCAAACCGACACAGGUGGUCAGGUAGAGAAUACCAAGGCGCUUGAGAGAACUCGGGUGAAGGAACUAGGCAAAAUGGUGCCGUAACUUCGGGAGAAGGCACGCUGACACGUAGGUGAAGUGAUUUACUCAUGGAGCUGAAGUCAGUCGAAGAUACCAGCUGGCUGCAACUGUUUAUUAAAAACACAGCACUGUGCAAACACGAAAGUGGACGUAUACGGUGUGACGCCUGCCCGGUGCCGGAAGGUUAAUUGAUGGGGUCAGCGCAAGCGAAGCUCCUGAUCGAAGCCCCGGUAAACGGCGGCCGUAACUAUAACGGUCCUAAGGUAGCGAAAUUCCUUGUCGGGUAAGUUCCGACCUGCACGAAUGGCGUAAUGAUGGCCAGGCUGUCUCCACCCGAGACUCAGUGAAAUUGAACUCGCUGUGAAGAUGCAGUGUACCCGCGGCAAGACGGAAAGACCCCGUGAACCUUUACUAUAGCUUGACACUGAACAUUGAGCCUUGAUGUGUAGGAUAGGUGGGAGGCUUUGAAGUGUGGACGCCAGUCUGCAUGGAGCCGACCUUGAAAUACCACCCUUUAAUGUUUGAUGUUCUAACGUGGACCCGUUACCCGGGUUGCGGACAGUGUCUGGUGGGUAGUUUGACUGGGGCGGUCUCCUCCUAAAGAGUAACGGAGGAGCACGAAGGUUGGCUAAUCCUGGUCGGACAUCAGGAGGUUAGUGCAAUGGCAUAAGCCAGCUUGACUGCGAGCGUGACGGCGCGAGCAGGUGCGAAAGCAGGUCAUAGUGAUCCGGUGGUUCUGAAUGGAAGGGCCAUCGCUCAACGGAUAAAAGGUACUCCGGGGAUAACAGGCUGAUACCGCCCAAGAGUUCAUAUCGACGGCGGUGUUUGGCACCUCGAUGUCGGCUCAUCACAUCCUGGGGCUGAAGUAGGUCCCAAGGGUAUGGCUGUUCGCCAUUUAAAGUGGUACGCGAGCUGGGUUUAGAACGUCGUGAGACAGUUCGGUCCCUAUCUGCCGUGGGCGCUGGAGAACUGAGGGGGGCUGCUCCUAGUACGAGAGGACCGGAGUGGACGCAUCACUGGUGUUCGGGUUGUCAUGCCAAUGGCACUGCCCGGUAGCUAAAUGCGGAAGAGAUAAGUGCUGAAAGCAUCUAAGCACGAAACUUGCCCCGAGAUGAGUUCUCCCUGAGACUUAAAGUCUCCUGAAGGAACGUUGAAGACGACGACGUUGAUAGGCCGGGUGUGUAAGCGCAGCGAUGCGUUGAGCUAACCGGUACUAAUGAACCGUGAGGCUUAACCUUACAACGCCGAAG